Molecule: ribosomal RNA, 511 nt
Filed under: uncultured bacterium
Lineage: Bacteria
Description: partial 16S ribosomal RNA
Rfam family: Bacterial small subunit ribosomal RNA
Source: RNAcentral
GACGAACGCUGGCGGCGUGCCUAAUACAUGCAAGUCGAGCGGAGCGGAGGAAGCUUGCUUCCAAAGCUCAGCGGCGGACGGGUGAGUAACACGUGGGUAACCUGCCUGGCAGACUGGGAUAACGCUUGGAAACGAGUGCUAAUACCGGAUAGUCUUCUGAACCGCAUGGUUCGGAAGGGAAAGAGGCUUUCGCCUCACUGUCAGAUGGACCCGCGGCGCAUUAGCUAGUUGGUGAGGUAACGGCUCACCAAGGCGACGAUGCGUAGCCGACCUGAGAGGGUGACCGGCCACACUGGGACUGAGACACGGCCCAGACUCCUACGGGGGGCAGCAGUAGGGAAUCUUCCACAAUGGGCGAAAGCCUGAUGGAGCAACGCCGCGUGAGUGAUGAAGGCCUUUGGGUUGUAAAACUCUGUCUUCUGUGACGAACAAGCCUGUGAGUGGAAUGCUCAGGCCCUGACGGUAACAGAGGAGGAAGCCACGGCUAACUACGUGCCAGCAGCCGCGGUAA